GGAUGUGAGGGCAAUCUGGCAGUGAUAUCUGUCACCCCAUUGAUCGGCAGAGGUGAUUCAGAUGAUCUGGCUAGCCAGGCAGGUGUUGUCUUCUUCUUCCCUCACCAGUCCAUGUGCAUCUUUCCCAGGGGUGGGAUUCAAAUUUUUUAACAACUGAUUCUGAGGGUGUGGCUAGGUGGGUGUGGCCAUAUGACUGUGUGGGCGUGGAUUCUUUUCUUCUUUUUUUGCAUCAACACCCCCCCCAUUUUUUGCCUCCUGAGCCUCAGGGAAGUCUUCUGGGGGGC
RNAcentral lists this small nuclear RNA (284 nucleotides) under Ophiophagus hannah (king cobra). RNAcentral describes it as "7SK RNA". It matches the Rfam family "7SK RNA". From Rfam's summary of the family: 7SK was discovered as an abundant small nuclear RNA in the mid-70s but a possible function has only recently been suggested. Two independent studies have found that 7SK RNA binds the CDK9/cyclin T complex (known as elongation factor P-TEFb). Lineage: Eukaryota; Metazoa; Chordata; Lepidosauria; Squamata; Elapidae. The record is from Rfam by way of RNAcentral.